This is a non-coding RNA of Acanthosepion pharaonis, 103 nucleotides long. Lineage: Eukaryota; Metazoa; Mollusca; Cephalopoda; Sepiida; Sepiidae. The record is from the annotation of a GenBank genome assembly.
UUACGGUCAAAUCACGCUGAAACACCGGUUCUCGUACGAUCACCGUAGUUAAGCAGCGUAGAGCCAGGUCAGGGGACCGCUUGGGAACACCUGGUACUGUAAG